GCUGCCGGGCCGCGCUUCCCUCAGGGCGCUGCGCCUGGGCCGGCCCCGCUUGGUCCGGUCCCUGAGCCCCCCUCAGGCCCGUCCCUGCAGCUCUCCGCGGCCCUUGCUCGCCGUUCCCCCUGCCCAGCACAGGGGAAGGGGAGAAUGGGACAGACCUGAGCGCAAUUGAUGUCGUCCAGCUUUGACCGCUGUGCCCUUCAGCUUCCUUGAAGCCCAGACGUGGCUAGCGGCGGGCACUUCGCCAUCCGUACCCAAUGUUGUUGCUGUGUUGCUGGUUUUCACCCCUGCUUAGUCCUUUCGGUAUCACUGUAUUUAGGACCAACAUGUGUGACAAACUGAAACACAAACCAGGGGAUGUCACACACUGCAGCUGAGAGAAAACAAUGUAAUUUACAAAAGGAUUUCAGCUCCGUCCUUCCUCUCACCUCUCAUCAGCUAAAAUGCUUGUUUUUGUCUGGCUACACAUCAUUUGUGAUGUGACUUUCAUAUUUGACAAAAUAAACAUGCAGAACUUGUA
Vidua chalybeata is the source of this 517-nucleotide long non-coding RNA. RefSeq lists it as uncharacterized. The transcript has 2 exons. NCBI's taxonomy places the organism in Eukaryota, Metazoa, Chordata, Aves, Passeriformes, Viduidae. The record is from RefSeq and is a predicted model, not a curated record.